Molecule: long non-coding RNA, 1495 nt
Filed under: Homo sapiens (human)
Lineage: Eukaryota; Metazoa; Chordata; Mammalia; Primates; Hominidae
Description: HSALNT0098147
Source: RNAcentral
UAGACGUGACAUGUCACCAUUUCUCCUCAACUGAACCUGGCGGCUAGCAGCCACACAAAACUGCCAUCUCCGUGGCCCUAUAUAGAAUGCAAGGGAUGGAUCUUGUCCAUGCUCAGGCAUAAAAUGACAAGAAAAAGCGGAUUUGGCCUGAUCACGUGUUCUUCCAAAUCAUUUUCAUCUGCCACCAGGACUUUUGGCUUUUGAAAACCUAAAUAUUUGACUCUUUUGUUUCAUAGUUCCAUUGUGUCAGUCUUCUCUUGAGAUGCUUGCAGCCCGCUGCCUGAAUAAAUGAAGGCUUUAGAAAAAAAAAGAAAAAAAGCCAUGUUUGCCAGAGGGUGUUGUGCCAUUCAAACCUGGCACGGUCAUGCUGGAGCUGAGACCAUGGGAGGAGGGAAGAAGAGAGAAUGAGUUUUCCGCCUUCCACACCUGAGGCUGUAUUGCCACACCAUCUGGAGCCAGAAGGGGAGAAUGGGGCAGAAUAAAUAUAAGGUGUAAACGCACGGAGCGUAAACGCAUGAAAUUGGCAAUGACUAAUUCAUCAUCUCACAAAUCUGUCUUUACAAAGAGAAAUAAAAAUCAAGUCAGUUUGAGCUAUAUGGAGGGAGUGCAGCUCUUCCAAGAAGAGCUAAUAAAAGGAGGGAGGGGAACUAGGGACUGUUUGGAAAAUAUGCAAAUUUAUGAAAUUGGAAGAUUCAGAUGACACUUCAGGGUGAUUAGUAUGCUGAUUGGUGUGCUUUGGGGAGCACUAAGGAUGCAUCAUAUUGUUUUCUUGAAAAAAAAUAAUGAAGCAGAAUAAAAGAGCCCUGUGCUUCCUAACUACAGGCCUGAGUCUGCAAUGUCAGCUGUGCCUUUGUGAAUGGUGAGAGGAGCCCUGUGUGAAUGCUGUCUACACCACUGAGCUGUCUUAGACGCAAGACUGACUUAAGAUAUUGUACUCACUUAUUCAUGCAAUAAAGGUUUGAUGACACCUACUCUAUGUCGAGCACCAUGCUGGAUGCUUAGGACACAAAGAAGAACCAGGCAUGUUCCUCGACCUGGAAAAAUUCAGGGUCCAUGAGGGGAGAGAAUGUAUGGUGCCUCCCACAGAAUAAGCACUACAACAUGAGGAUUUUAGCCUAGUGAUGCUGUAACACAGCAGAAUCAGUUGAUGGUGAUGAGGGGAAGGAAUUGGAGAAGCUUCAUAAAGAAGGAUGACAUUUGAGCUGAAUUUGAAGGAUGCAUAGAAUUUUUCCAGAUGACAAAGUAGGCAAAGGAUAUUUGAGGCAGAAAUAACAGCAUAAGCAAAGGCAUGAAGGCAUGAAAGUACUUAAUACACUUUCUGGGAAUGUUAAGAUGACUGGUGAAUAGUUCUUCCUGAGUCUGCCACCUGAGAGUAAUUGCCAGAUUGACUGGCUGGGUAGGAUGCUUGGGCUGUUCAAAUCUCAACAGCAGUGUCCACCAUGGCAUCGGAGUGUGAGAUCCAUCAACAGUCUGAUAAAAUUUUCCAUCUUUCUGG